This 253-nucleotide ribosomal RNA is filed under the name uncultured bacterium. Its description in RNAcentral is "partial 16S ribosomal RNA". It matches the Rfam family "Bacterial small subunit ribosomal RNA", at positions 524 to 776 of the family's 1533-position model. The record is from RNAcentral.
GACAGAGGGUGCAAACGUUGUUCGGAAUUACUGGGCGUAAAGAGCGCGUAGGCGGCCGAGUAAGUCCGACGUGAAAUCUGGAGGCUCAACCUCCAGCGGUCGUUGGAAACUACUCGGCUAGAGUCCGGAAGAGGAGAGUGGAAUUCCUGGUGUAGCGGUGAAAUGCGCAGAUAUCAGGAAGAACACCGAUGGCGAAAGCAGCUCUCUGGGACGGUACUGACGCUGAGGCGCGAAAGCGUGGGGAGCAAACAGG